Molecule: long non-coding RNA, 844 nt
Filed under: Sander lucioperca (pikeperch)
Lineage: Eukaryota; Metazoa; Chordata; Actinopteri; Perciformes; Percidae
Description: lncRNA (ENSSLUG00000007943.1)
Source: RNAcentral
CUUUUGGAGAUUGGUCUAUUUGACUGAUACCCUGAUUGAAUACCAAUAUUGCUACUGCACAGCUUAACACAAAGAUGACCCUUCUCGACUACCCUGUUCCAGAGUUGGAUGCUACCUUGCAAGAGGUGAGCCGUGUCCUGCAGCUCACUUUAGGUCCAGACCUUUACCCAGAGUUCAAAAGUACGUUGGAACAGCAGAGGGAGAUCCUUCAAGAGGCCCAGCAAAAAUUGGCAGCCAUUGCUUCAGGCCAAGAAAACUGGGUGACGGAGCAGUUCAAGAGAGGUCUUCUGUCUUGUGCUGAACCUGUGCCAACCUCCACUGCCCUCCCUGUUGUUCUGUCUCCUUCCAAAGCAAAGGAAUGUACCCAACUGGGGAGGGCAGCCGCUCUGCUCUGGGCAGCAGCAAAGCUGUACAGUGAGCCCAUGUUACUGGAAGGCAAUGCGCCAAUGGAGCGCUCACAGCAGUCUGAGGUAUUCGCUGCAAGUCGGAUUCCUGGCAGGAGUCAAGAUGAGAUUAAGGUCUACCCAGAUAGCCUACAUGCCAUCAUCACCUGUGUUGGAGGAGUGUUCCCUGUUGACAUAUUGUGGCGUCCCAACACUGGCCCGGUUUCUGCUCGACCGUUCAUUGACAUCUACAACCAGCUGGCUCAGGUGAUGGAUCAACCCAGUGCAGGAAAUCAGAAUGAUCCCUCUGCAAUUUGCAGCCUCUCAGCUCUGGGGCGCAAAGUCUGGGCUGCCACCAGGGAAGAGAUCCUGGGGCAAGGAGGGGACGCAGCGGCAUCACUGGGGCUGAUGGAGAGUGCCGUGCUGACACUCUGUUUGGAAGACUGCAACGCACCCUCUGA